This 203-nucleotide non-coding RNA is filed under the name Flavobacterium enshiense DK69. The record is from RNAcentral. RNAcentral also lists the same sequence under 1 other name. Lineage: Bacteria; Pseudomonadati; Bacteroidota; Flavobacteriia; Flavobacteriales; Flavobacteriaceae.
UAUUUGCGCCAGAAUUGAGGUUAUGUGUUCGUUUUUUACGAACUAUAUUAAAAGGGAAUUAGGUUAAAAGCCUAAGCUGUACCCGCAACUGUAAGCUAUUAAAGCUUGUUGUUAUCUGCAAACCACUGUCAAGUUCAAAAACGUGAUGGGAAGGUAAACAACAAGAUGCAAGCCAGGAGACCUGCCUUUUUCGUAACAAAUAU